This 254-nucleotide ribosomal RNA is filed under the name uncultured bacterium. RNAcentral describes it as "partial 16S ribosomal RNA". It matches the Rfam family "Bacterial small subunit ribosomal RNA", at positions 524 to 777 of the family's 1533-position model. The record is from RNAcentral.
UACGUAGGGGGCUAGCGUUGUCCGGAAUCAUUGGGCGUAAAGAGCGUGUAGGCGGCCCGGUAAGUCCGCUGUGAAAUUCCGGGGCUCAACCCUGGAACUGCAUUGAAUACUACCUUGCUAGAGUACCGGAGAGGAAACUGGAAUUUACGGUGUAGCAGUGAAAUGCGUAGAGAUCGUAAGGAAGACCAGUGGCGAAGGCGAGUUUCUGGACGGUAACUGACGCUGAGGCACGAAGGCCAGGGGAGCAAACGGGG